UGUUUGCUGUGAUGAUUCCUACAUGGACGGUAUCUUAGUAAGGAACCACUUGAAAAGGUGGUCCUCACGUGAUUACAUCCAAAACUGAUCAGAGAUUCUGAGCAAACA
Oryza sativa Japonica Group (Japanese rice) is the source of this 108-nucleotide small nucleolar RNA. It matches the Rfam family "Small nucleolar RNA Z118/Z121/Z120". From Rfam's summary of the family: This family consists of several snoRNA Z118, Z121 and Z120 sequences which are members of the C/D class of snoRNA which contain the C (UGAUGA) and D (CUGA) box motifs. The record is from Rfam. NCBI's taxonomy places the organism in Eukaryota, Viridiplantae, Streptophyta, Magnoliopsida, Poales, Poaceae.